AAUGGUAUCAGUGGUAGGGGAGCGUUCUAAGGACAGUGAAGUCAGACCGUAAGGACUGGUGGAGUGCUUAGAAGUGAGAAUGCCGGUAUGAGUAGCGAAAGACGGGUGAGAAUCCCGUCCACCGAAUGCCUAAGGUUUCCUGAGGAAGGCUCGUCCGCUCAGGGUUAGUCAGGACCUAAGCCGAGGCCGACAGGCGUAGGCGAUGGACAACAGGUUGAUAUUCCUGUACCACCUCUUUAUCGUUUGAGCAAUGGAGGGACGCAGAAGGAUAGAAGAAGCGUGCGAUUGGUUGUGCACGUCCAAGCAGUUAGGCUGAUAAGUAGGCAAAUCCGCUUAUC
This 338-nucleotide ribosomal RNA is filed under the name Bacillus cereus. RNAcentral's name for it is "partial 23S ribosomal RNA". It matches the Rfam family "Bacterial large subunit ribosomal RNA", at positions 1215 to 1550 of the family's 2925-position model. Lineage: Bacteria; Bacillati; Bacillota; Bacilli; Caryophanales; Bacillaceae. The record is from RNAcentral. RNAcentral also lists the same sequence under 1 other name.